RNAcentral lists this long non-coding RNA (696 nucleotides) under Sitophilus oryzae (rice weevil). RNAcentral describes it as "uncharacterized LOC115887563". Lineage: Eukaryota; Metazoa; Arthropoda; Insecta; Coleoptera; Curculionidae. The record is from RNAcentral.
AUUUUUUAUAUGUAGAUGUUUCAGGUUUUAAGAAUAAAUUGGUUGAACCCAAAAUCUGGAGGAAGUACCUAUAUCCAUACACAGAAUAUGCCCAUUAAGAAUACUAGUCCAAAUUUGCUUUAAUGGAACGAUUAGGGCCCGAUAUAUUUGAAACUCAUGUUGGACAUAGUAUUGAGUUGGGUAGAAUAUUAUUCUACGUUAAGUGAGGAUAUCAGAUACCUAUUAUUGUACUGUAUUUUAAUAUAUACAUUAGAAUUGUUGGUUUUUUCAUAUUUGUUUUAUAUAUUAUUUUACUUACAAGUUAUAUAAAGUUAACACUAAAAUCUACUUUUUGACUUAUAUAAGUUAGUCUGUGGUUUAAUGCGUGAUUACAUCCACAUUAUGAUUUCAAGUUUUUAAAAUAUAAAUAUUAUAACUGGCUUUAAAAACUCCAUUAAACUGUUAAAAGUGUAAUUUAUUUCAAAAUAAAUAUACAUAUACCUAUACCUAGGUAUAUAUUAAUAUCGAAAAAUAUAUAUUAAUAUCGAAAGACAUUUUUAUUUCCUUAACACCAAUUUAAUCAUCACAUACAUAUGUAUAAACAUUUAUUUACGUUAUUUCAAAUGAAGACCACAGGAAAAACCAGCUUUGUUCAUUUUAACUGGAGCCGAGAAAAUGCAAUUACGAGUGAACUACUCUGGUUUUUCUCCUGUAGGG